This 93-nucleotide non-coding RNA is filed under the name Fructobacillus fructosus. RNAcentral describes it as "yjdF RNA". It matches the Rfam family "azaaromatic riboswitch aptamer (yjdF RNA)". The record is from RNAcentral. Lineage: Bacteria; Bacillati; Bacillota; Bacilli; Lactobacillales; Lactobacillaceae.
AAACAAAGGUAAAAACACAGUGCUGGUUGGUAGUCCAGUCGCCGGUAACGGUCAGUAUCCUUCCUCUCCGGGAUGUCCAUCCUUCUGAUAUUU